RNAcentral lists this ribosomal RNA (292 nucleotides) under uncultured bacterium. RNAcentral's name for it is "partial 16S ribosomal RNA". It matches the Rfam family "Bacterial small subunit ribosomal RNA", at positions 505 to 796 of the family's 1533-position model. The record is from RNAcentral.
GUGUCAGCAGCCGCGGUAAUACGGAGGAUGCAAGCGUUAUCCGGAUUCAUUGGGUUUAAAGGGUGCGCAGGCGGAGUGAUAAGUCAGUGGUGAAAGCCUACAGCUUAACUGUAGAACUGCCAUUGAUACUGUCAUUCUUGAGUAUUGUUGAGGUAGGCGGAAUGUGUCAUGUAGCGGUGAAAUGCUUAGAUAUGACACAGAACACCGAUCGCGAAGGCAGCUUACCAAGCAAUAACUGACGCUCAUGCACGAAAGCGUGGGGAUCAAACAGGAUUAGAAACCCCGGUAGUCC